AAUAUUCAUAUAAAUCUCGGUUCUAGUGGGAGAACAGCCACUAGAGGUAACGGGGAAAGUCCGGUGUGAAUCCGGCGCUGUCCCGCAGCUGUAAUCAAGGCCGGCCUUGUGAGUCAGAACGCCCGCCGAAGCUAACUUGUAAAU
RNAcentral lists this non-coding RNA (144 nucleotides) under Scytonema tolypothrichoides. The record is from RNAcentral. Lineage: Bacteria; Bacillati; Cyanobacteriota; Cyanophyceae; Nostocales; Scytonemataceae.